GGACCCAUCUCAUGGCUCAUUAGCCGGGUGGCCCGGCGCCCAGAGGUGGGUAGAGAGCACCAGGUGGCUUCUCUCUGGAAACCCCUGCAAACCCUGGGCUUCCCUUUCAGGGAUCAUGGCCAAAUUCUUGCCCUCGAAAUGAUUUUCCAGGCCUUUCCACCAGGAAAGAUGUUUUUCUGAGGGGGGAGGGGGGCCAUGGGAGGGUCUGGAGGAAGAGCCAGGGAGCGUAAGCUCGGAGGUCGGAGAAGAGGGAUUAGUACUGCCAGGCUAGGUCCAAGCACAGAGGCCCUCCCUCACUCGUGCCCAGCGGGAAAUCACAACCGCGGUCAGACAUUUCCCCAUGUUGGCCCAACACCACCUUCUUUUCCUCCCUGACACAUCCCUGGGCAGGACCUGGGGACAGCUAGAAACCUGCAAGCACCAGUGGACCCAGGGCCCUCUCCAGCCAGGAGAUACCCCUGAGCUGACCUGGUUCAGCCACAGCAGCCCGGGUGGGGGCACCGUCCGGGCACCUCGUGUUCCCGUCCUCCUCAGCACCGCCCAGGCCCAGCGGUUGGGCUGUGGAAAGUCAGGGACUCUGAGUCACCCUCCUCCUUUCAGUGUAUUUCUGGGAAUGUGAAGCACACUGGAGCGACGUGACAUUCCUUAGCUCCCAGCAGCAAGUCAACCACCCACUUCCUUUCCAGUCAUGCUGCAUGACAGCGGAACAGGACCAAACAAAUUGACAUGAAAGCCACAUGCCUUUAGGACAGGACGGGAGCGCAGGGCCAGGGCCUCCCUUCCCUCCAGAGCAGAGCGCAUACCAGCAGGCAAGCACCGCAGCUGUCCCUACCCCUCCAGGGCCAGGAAACCCUCUCCUCGGGCAUGUGACGCCCGUCCUGCUGUUCCAGAACACACUCGCACAUCUACAGACACACCCAUUCUGGGUGACAGGCAUUGCCAUGUGUGAAAUUCUUUGUCCUUAUCAUCUCUGGAGUAAGUCACAGGAAGGGUAACGCCCAUGUCUCUCAAGCAUUUGGUCUGGGGGUAAAGUUCUGCACAUCUGAAUCCUAGAAAAAUGUCGUCUAUGGACAGGACCCUGAGCACACGUCAAGAGCUUGGGAAGAGAGCUGGGGCAGGGGGACGAUGAGAGGGUGAACGUGGGGACAUCUGCCCUCAAGGAGGACCAGUGUCACAUGGAGACAGAACCUCAGGAGCAUGAGCAGCAGAACACAGACAGAGACACACUGCUCGGAUAUGUGAAUACAAGAGGAAAAUGUGUUACACAACCUUAUCUCCCGGGGAUCUCGCUUUGGUGUCAUUCUUUAGGUUACUCUGUAUCUUUGUUUAUUUUCUGUCCCCCCAACAAGACGAAUGCAAGCAGGGCCAAUGUCUGUGAUCCUCCACAGUGAUUGCUACUCAAACAGUGAGUAUAAUCUGCACAGUCAAGAUCAGGAGCCGCCUUGGAGGGCUGGAGGGCCACCUCAAGCUGCAGAGCGGUGCCCUUGGAGAGAAGUUCCCAUAAGUGAUGAAGUAGAAAGGGAGCGUCAGCGCCAUGGGAGGUGGUAGCUGCCUGGAGAGACCACAUCCAGCCAGGCCUGGGGACCGCCCUCGAGAUCUGGGUCACCCUCUCCUUUCCACCACCAUCUCCUGGGCAAAACCUCUGCCAGCUCUUUGGUGACCAUUCAAAAGUCAUCCGAUCAUGUCCCUUCCGCUGUGGCUCCACAAAAGCACCCAGAACUGCCUAACAAUCUAAAUCAAGCUGUACCGCCACCCUGCUCACAGCUCAGCACGACUCACCUUCCCAGCCAAGAGGGCCCGUCCCUCCCCAGCCCUCUGUCCCAGCCGCACUGGCUACUUUGAGGAACCUCAGACUGGCCAAGCUCGUCCCCACUCUGGGCUGGUUCCCUCCACUGGGAAAAGGCUUCCCCAGGCCCCCCGUGGCUGUCCCUUCUCCCACCAGGCCGGGGAGGCACAGGAUCACUGCGGGAAGAGCGGAUCACGACGAAUCAUUGUCAAGGCAAGAAACUGGGGUAGCAGUGGUGGGAAACAGAAUGUUCCCCUGCGAGGGUCUGUCUGGCCCAUGGUGGCAUCGCUGGUGCGGCUCCCAGACUCACCUUGGCCUCUUGCAGUGACUGAGAGCU
Long non-coding RNA from Marmota monax (woodchuck), 2123 nucleotides. RefSeq lists it as uncharacterized. The transcript has 3 exons. The record is from RefSeq and is a predicted model, not a curated record. NCBI's taxonomy places the organism in Eukaryota, Metazoa, Chordata, Mammalia, Rodentia, Sciuridae.